RNAcentral lists this ribosomal RNA (255 nucleotides) under uncultured bacterium. Its description in RNAcentral is "partial 16S ribosomal RNA". It matches the Rfam family "Bacterial small subunit ribosomal RNA", at positions 524 to 776 of the family's 1533-position model. The record is from RNAcentral.
UACGUAGGGUGCAAGCGUUUGUCCGGAAUUAUUGGGCGUAAAGAGCUCGUAGGCGGUUUGUCGCGUCUGCUGUGAAAACUGGAGGCUCAACCUCCAGCCUGCAGUGGGUACGGGCAGACUAGAGUGCGGUAGGGGAGAUUGGAAUUCCUGGUGUAGCGGUGGAAUGCGCAGAUAUCAGGAGGAACACCGAUGGCGAAGGCAGAUCUCUGGGCCGUAACUGACGCUGAGGAGCGAAAGCAUGGGGGAGCGAACAGG